RNAcentral lists this non-coding RNA (44 nucleotides) under Schistosoma mansoni. Lineage: Eukaryota; Metazoa; Platyhelminthes; Trematoda; Strigeidida; Schistosomatidae. The record is from RNAcentral.
AUUGGCUGACGAGUCCCAAAUAGGACGAAACGCGCGUCCUGAAU